This 120-nucleotide ribosomal RNA is filed under the name Streptomyces avidinii. Its description in RNAcentral is "partial 16S rRNA". It matches the Rfam family "Bacterial small subunit ribosomal RNA", at positions 162 to 283 of the family's 1533-position model. RNAcentral also lists the same sequence under 3 other names. The record is from RNAcentral. Lineage: Bacteria; Bacillati; Actinomycetota; Actinomycetes; Kitasatosporales; Streptomycetaceae.
UCUAAUACCGGAUACCACUCCUGCCUGCAUGGGCGGGGGUUGAAAGCUCCGGCGGUGAAGGAUGAGCCCGCGGCCUAUCAGCUUGUUGGUGGGGUAAUGGCCCACCAAGGCGACGACGGG